AAUUUUUUAAAAUUUCUUUUGGUAAAUACUCAGAGGUACAAUUGCUGUAUAUAUAGAAGAGGAGAAACAUAGGUGGACAUACGCCUGGUACACAUUUGCACAUUGCCUGGUGGGAAGCCUGUCUAACCCAAGCAAAGAAGAAGAAAAGCAAUCUGGAGUGUGAAUGGCCAAGGCAUUUGACUCAAUAACUAUAACUCUGGAAUGAGUGGCUGGGUGGAGACAUCAGUCUGUUGGAAAGUCGGUGGGUUUGUUCAAGCCGUAUGCUGGAAGGAGAGACUUUGCGAUGGAGUCACGCAGCAGAUCUAAGAAGUGUUACCAUGUAACUCGUUGCACAGAAGCAGCUGACAAAGAAGAAUGUAAAGGAUAUUGAAGACAGCACUGUGAUGCGCGUUAGACGUCAACUGCUUGUGAUUUUGGGGUCCACA
This is a long non-coding RNA of Molossus molossus (Pallas's mastiff bat), 425 nucleotides long. RefSeq lists it as uncharacterized. The record is from RefSeq and is a predicted model, not a curated record. The transcript has 4 exons. Lineage: Eukaryota; Metazoa; Chordata; Mammalia; Chiroptera; Molossidae.